Molecule: ribosomal RNA, 180 nt
Filed under: uncultured Glomeromycotina
Lineage: Eukaryota; Fungi; Glomeromycota
Description: partial small subunit ribosomal RNA
Source: RNAcentral
GACCCGGCUGUUGUGGUCGGCCGCAUAGGUCUGUACUCUUCUGGCUGGGUCUUUCCUUCUGGAGAACCGCCAUGCCAUUCGUUUGGUGUGGCGGAGAUCCAGGACGUUUACCUUGAGAAAAUUAGAGUGUUUAAAGCAGGCCGAUGCGCUUGAAUACAUUAGCAUGGAAUAAUAAAAUAG